GGCAUAGCUCCUCAGAAUUUCGGAAAGCUGCAGCCAGUGGUUGGAAAGACUGCCUUGGCAAUAGCAUCACCAAGCCCAGAGAACGCAUCUCUAAAGGCACUUUGGAAUCCUACAGAAGAAUGCUCCCACUGGAAGGGUGCGGCUUCCUUCUUCCAGUGACUGUGGAUCACUUCAAGGGGCAGCCAGGAGCAGUUUCUCAAGCAACUUUCCUUGCAGCCCUAAUAAGAAAUUACCAAGGAAUCAGUUUGGACACUCUCCAGUGUUUAUGAGCAUCUUAAAUUCUCUGUUCUCUGUGGUCUAAGUGAAUUGGAAAUUCAAACUGGACUUUAAUCGAAUUUGGCAUAAAAGACCAGGACACCAAAAUUAUCCAUUCUCUCCACAAAAAGGAAGCUUUGAAGUGCAGCCAGGACGAGGGAGGCUGCCCCAUCUUGGAGGUGCAUUCACUUGUAAUUUACUCCUCCACGUGGGCUCUGGAGCUCCAGUCUCGUAAGUAC
Molecule: long non-coding RNA, 494 nt
Organism: Zalophus californianus (California sea lion)
Lineage: Eukaryota; Metazoa; Chordata; Mammalia; Carnivora; Otariidae
Exons: 4
Source: RefSeq, a predicted model, not a curated record